Molecule: ribosomal RNA, 2902 nt
Filed under: Klebsiella pneumoniae
Lineage: Bacteria; Pseudomonadati; Pseudomonadota; Gammaproteobacteria; Enterobacterales; Enterobacteriaceae
Also listed under: 1 other name
Description: 23S ribosomal RNA
Rfam family: Bacterial large subunit ribosomal RNA
Source: RNAcentral
GGUUAAGCGACUAAGCGUACACGGUGGAUGCCCUGGCAGUCAGAGGCGAUGAAGGACGUGCUAAUCUGCGAAAAGCGUCGGUAAGGUGAUAUGAACCGUUACAGCCGGCGAUGUCCGAAUGGGGAAACCCAGUGCAAUUCGUUGCACUAUCGUUAACUGAAUACAUAGGUUAACGAGGCGAACCGGGGGAACUGAAACAUCUAAGUACCCCGAGGAAAAAAAAUCAACCGAGAUUCCCCCAGUAGCGGCGAGCGAACGGGGAGCAGCCCAGAGUCUGAAUCAGCUUGUGUGUUAGUGGAACGGUCUGGAAAGUCCGACGGUACAGGGUGAUAGUCCCGUACACCAAAAUGCACAGGCUGUGAACUCGAAGAGUAGGGCGGGACACGUGGUAUCCUGUCUGAAUAUGGGGGGACCAUCCUCCAAGGCUAAAUACUCCUGACUGACCGAUAGUGAACCAGUACCGUGAGGGAAAGGCGAAAAGAACCCCGGCGAGGGGAGUGAAAAAGAACCUGAAACCGUGUACGUACAAGCAGUGGGAGCACCUUCGGGUGUGACUGCGUACCUUUUGUAUAAUGGGUCAGCGACUUAUAUUCUGUAGCAAGGUUAACCGUAUAGGGGAGCCGCAGGGAAACCGAGUCUUAACUGGGCGUUAAGUUGCAGGGUAUAGACCCGAAACCCGGUGAUCUAGCCAUGGGCAGGUUGAAGGUUGGGUAACACUAACUGGAGGACCGAACCGACUAAUGUUGAAAAAUUAGCGGAUGACUUGUGGCUGGGGGUGAAAGGCCAAUCAAACCGGGAGAUAGCUGGUUCUCCCCGAAAGCUAUUUAGGUAGCGCCUCGUGAAUUCAUCUUCGGGGGUAGAGCACUGUUUCGGCUAGGGGGUCAUCCCGACUUACCAACCCGAUGCAAACUACGAAUACCGAAGAAUGUUAUCACGGGAGACACACGGCGGGUGCUAACGUCCGUCGUGAAGAGGGAAACAACCCAGACCGCCAGCUAAGGUCCCAAAGUCAUGGUUAAGUGGGAAACGAUGUGGGAAGGCACAGACAGCCAGGAUGUUGGCUUAGAAGCAGCCAUCAUUUAAAGAAAGCGUAAUAGCUCACUGGUCGAGUCGGCCUGCGCGGAAGAUGUAACGGGGCUAAACCAUGCACCGAAGCUGCGGCAGCGACACUAUGUGUUGUUGGGUAGGGGAGCGUUCUGUAAGCCUGCGAAGGUGACCUGUGAGGGUUGCUGGAGGUAUCAGAAGUGCGAAUGCUGACAUAAGUAACGAUAAAGCGGGUGAAAAGCCCGCUCGCCGGAAGACCAAGGGUUCCUGUCCAACGUUAAUCGGGGCAGGGUGAGUCGACCCCUAAGGCGAGGCCGAAAGGCGUAGUCGAUGGGAAACAGGUUAAUAUUCCUGUACUUGGUGUUACUGCGAAGGGGGGACGGAGAAGGCUAUGUUAGCCGGGCGACGGUUGUCCCGGUUUAAGCAUGUAGGCUGGUUAUCCAGGCAAAUCCGGAUAAUCAAGGCUGAGGUGUGAUGACGAGGCACUACGGUGCUGAAGUAACAAAUGCCCUGCUUCCAGGAAAAGCCUCUAAGCAUCAGGUAACAUCAAAUCGUACCCCAAACCGACACAGGUGGUCAGGUAGAGAAUACCAAGGCGCUUGAGAGAACUCGGGUGAAGGAACUAGGCAAAAUGGUGCCGUAACUUCGGGAGAAGGCACGCUGGUGUGUAGGUGAAGUCCCUGCGGAUGGAGCUGAGACCAGUCGAAGAUACCAGCUGGCUGCAACUGUUUAUUAAAAACACAGCACUGUGCAAACACGAAAGUGGACGUAUACGGUGUGACGCCUGCCCGGUGCCGGAAGGUUAAUUGAUGGGGUUAUCCGUAAGGAGAAGCUCUUGAUCGAAGCCCCGGUAAACGGCGGCCGUAACUAUAACGGUCCUAAGGUAGCGAAAUUCCUUGUCGGGUAAGUUCCGACCUGCACGAAUGGCGUAAUGAUGGCCAGGCUGUCUCCACCCGAGACUCAGUGAAAUUGAACUCGCUGUGAAGAUGCAGUGUACCCGCGGCAAGACGGAAAGACCCCGUGAACCUUUACUAUAGCUUGACACUGAACAUUGAGCCUUGAUGUGUAGGAUAGGUGGGAGGCUUUGAAGCGUGGACGCCAGUCUGCGUGGAGCCAACCUUGAAAUACCACCCUUUAAUGUUUGAUGUUCUAACGUUGGCCCCUGACCGGGGUUGCGGACAGUGUCUGGUGGGUAGUUUGACUGGGGCGGUCUCCUCCCAAAGCGUAACGGAGGAGCACGAAGGUUAGCUAAUCCUGGUCGGACAUCAGGAGGUUAGUGCAAUGGCAUAAGCUAGCUUGACUGCGAGCGUGACGGCGCGAGCAGGUGCGAAAGCAGGUCAUAGUGAUCCGGUGGUUCUGAAUGGAAGGGCCAUCGCUCAACGGAUAAAAGGUACUCCGGGGAUAACAGGCUGAUACCGCCCAAGAGUUCAUAUCGACGGCGGUGUUUGGCACCUCGAUGUCGGCUCAUCACAUCCUGGGGCUGAAGUAGGUCCCAAGGGUAUGGCUGUUCGCCAUUUAAAGUGGUACGCGAGCUGGGUUUAGAACGUCGUGAGACAGUUCGGUCCCUAUCUGCCGUGGGCGCUGGAGAAUUGAGGGGGGCUGCUCCUAGUACGAGAGGACCGGAGUGGACGCAUCACUGGUGUUCGGGUUGUCAUGCCAAUGGCACUGCCCGGUAGCUAAAUGCGGAAGAGAUAAGUGCUGAAAGCAUCUAAGCACGAAACUUGCCCCGAGAUGAGUUCUCCCUGAGACUUUAAGUCUCCUGAAGGAACGUUAAAGACGAUGACGUUGAUAGGCCGGGUGUGUAAGCGCAGCGAUGCGUUGAGCUAACCGGUACUAAUGAACCGUGAGGCUUAACCUU